RNAcentral lists this ribosomal RNA (725 nucleotides) under uncultured Bacilli bacterium. RNAcentral describes it as "bacterial SSU rRNA". It matches the Rfam family "Bacterial small subunit ribosomal RNA", at positions 57 to 770 of the family's 1533-position model. Lineage: Bacteria; Bacillati; Bacillota; Bacilli. The record is from RNAcentral.
ACAGGAUGCACCGUAGUUUACUACACCGUAUUCUGUGAGUUGCGAACGGGUGAGUAACGCGUAGGUAACCUGCCUGGUAGCGGGGGAUAACUAUUGGAAACGAUAGCUAAUACCGCAUAAGAACAUUUACUGCAUGGUAGAUGUUUAAAAGGUGCAAGAGCGUCACUACCAGAUGGACCUGCGUUGUAUUAGCUAGUUGGUGAGGUAACGGCUCACCAAGGCAACGAUACAUAGCCGACCUGAGAGGGUGAUCGGCCACACUGGGACUGAGACACGGCCCAGACUCCUACGGGAGGCAGCAGUAGGGAAUCUUCGGCAAUGGGGGGAACCCUGACCGAGCAACGCCGCGUGAGUGAAGAAGGUUUUCGGAUCGUAAAGCUCUGUUGUUAAGGAAGAACGUGUGUGAGAGUGGAAAGUUCACACAGUGACGGUACUUAACCAGAAAGGGGCGGCUAACUACGUGCCAGCAGCCGCGGUAAUACGUAGGUCCCGAGCGUUGUCCGGAUUUAUUGGGCGUAAAGCGAGCGCAGGCGGUUAGAUAAGUCUGAAGUGAAAGGCAGUGGCUCAACCAUUGUAGGCUUUGGAAACUGUUUAACUUGAGUGCAGAAGGGGAGAGUGGAAUUCCAUGUGUAGCGGUGAAAUGCGUAGAUAUAUGGAGGAACACCGGUGGCGAAAGCGGCUCUCUGGUCUGUAACUGACGCUGAGGCUCGAAAGCGUGGGGAGCG